CCUACGGGAGGCAGCAGUGAGGAAUAUUGGUCAAUGGACGCAAGUCUGAACCAGCCAUGCCGCGUGCAGGAAGACGGCUCUAUGAGUUGUAAACUGCUUUUGUACGAGGGUAAACGCAGAUACGCGUAUCUGUCUGAAAGUAUCGUACGAAUAAGGAUCGGCUAACUCCGUGCCAGCAGCCGCGGUAAUACGGAGGAUUCAAGCGUUAUCCGGAUUUAUUGGGUUUAAAGGGUGCGUAGGCGGUUGGAUAAGUCAGUGGUGAAAGCCCGAGGCUCAACCGCAGAAUUGCAUCUGAGACUGUUCGGCUAGAGAAUAGUAGCGGUAGGCGGAAUGUGUGGUGUAGCGGUGAAAUGCUUAGAGAUCAUACAGAACACCGAUUGCGAAGGCAGCUUACCAGGCUACAACUGACGUUGAGGCACGAAAGCGUGGGGAUCAAACAGGAUUAGAUACCCUUGUAGUC
RNAcentral lists this ribosomal RNA (460 nucleotides) under uncultured bacterium. RNAcentral describes it as "partial 16S ribosomal RNA". It matches the Rfam family "Bacterial small subunit ribosomal RNA", at positions 338 to 795 of the family's 1533-position model. The record is from RNAcentral.